Molecule: long non-coding RNA, 636 nt
Organism: Cryptomeria japonica (Japanese cedar)
Lineage: Eukaryota; Viridiplantae; Streptophyta; Pinopsida; Cupressales; Cupressaceae
Exons: 3
Source: RefSeq, a predicted model, not a curated record
UGUAGUUUUCUUACUCUGUUUUUCUUUUGAGCAUGGCCAUGCCUCCUGUUUGUUCUCUUCAAGUCAUUUUUUUUUGUUUUUUGAAUUUUUUCUGCAUUAUUGUGUAUUCUUUUUUUCUUUUAAUUUGUGUUGGGUAAGAAUAGAGAAAAUGUUUACUGUGGACUGCAAAACGGGGAAUUCCAAGCGUUGAUGAGACUCCUCUUACAACAUUCAAAGCCCUGGGAACUACUUCUUACAUUUACUGUUUCAGACUGAUAAAGUAAUGCCAACAUGAAAAAACUGAAGAAAAUGGUUUUGGCUGUAUGGACACCUGACAGUGCAAGAUAUAAAUUGGCUCCCUUUCGAACAACUGGGUAGUGGUGGUUCUAUAGAACAGAGUUCAAGAUCUACAAUUCCUGCCAAGUAGUGAGAAUAUAUUAGACUGUAUCCCUUUGUUUCAUUCUGAACCAGAAACAUAUGGAAGGUAAUUCAUCAUGGCAAAUCCAAAAUAGAACUAAGAAAACACAUUUCAGCUUUCAAUGCUCAAUUCAGUUUCGGUAAUGCCCAUUUUCUACUGCUGAUUUCCUCUGUUGUCCAUUUGUUCUUUUUCAAUUUACUUAAUUUCUUCCUUGGUGAAGUAGGAUUGUCUACAUGUGC